RNAcentral lists this ribosomal RNA (117 nucleotides) under Pteropus alecto (black flying fox). Lineage: Eukaryota; Metazoa; Chordata; Mammalia; Chiroptera; Pteropodidae. The record is from RNAcentral.
GUCUACGACCAUACUACCCUAAACAAGCCUAAUCCCGUCUGAUCUUGGAAGCUAAGUAGGGUCAGGCCUGGGUAGUACAUGGAUGGGAGAACACCCAGGAAGACCAGGUGCUAGGUG